Molecule: long non-coding RNA, 673 nt
Organism: Clupea harengus (Atlantic herring)
Lineage: Eukaryota; Metazoa; Chordata; Actinopteri; Clupeiformes; Clupeidae
Source: Ensembl
GACGUCUGUAGCCCUGGUCUAUUUACCUGUGUUUAUAAGGGCGUCUGUAGCCCUGGUCUAUUUACCUGUGCUUAUAGGGACGUGUGUAGAUGGUCUAUUUACCUGUGUUUAUAGGGGCGUGUGUAGCCCUGGUCUAUUUACCUGUGCUUAUAGGGACGUGUGUAGCCCUGGUCUAUUUACCACUCUUCACUCUUCACAGACAUACAGCCAUGAAACAUAACUAGAUGAACCUUAGUUAAAGUUAGUCUGUGUCUUUAGUUGAACCUUAGUUAAAGUUAGGCUGUGUCUUUAGUUGAACCUUAGUUAAAGUUAGUCUGUGUCUUUAGUUGAACCUUAGUUAAAGUUAGUCUGUGUCUUUAGUUGAACCUUAGUUAAAGUUAGUCUGUGUCUUUAGUUGAACCUUAGUUAAAGUUAGUCUGUGUCUUUAGUUGAACCUUAGUUAAAGUUAGUCUGUGUCUUUAGUUGAACCUUAGUUGGAAGUUAUCUGUGUCUUUCUAACUACCAAAGCUUUGAUUAUAAUCUUCCUUAUAUUUAUCCCGGACAACUUGCAUGUUGCGUAGCGCUUAAGUUACGUGUGCUGAAUACACUCUUGAGUCUUGAGUAGCUACCAACGCAGCACAGUUGCCAUUUUCUUCCACAGAAUUCAAAGCUACUACCUUUAAAGUCAGAGAAC